CUAGAUUCCUUCUAAGAAAAAUACAAUUAGUAGCAGACCAUGUUUAUUUUGUUGAAAUUUUAAAAGCCAAUAUUGUGUAUAUAUGUUAUUUUUCAACUUUCUAAGUAAAUAUAGAUAGUCUGAUUGCCUCAGAAUAUAGCUUUUGUAUAUUGCACAGAUGUAUGAUGUCGUUGUAAUGUAAUUAUUUAAUUUUUUACUGCUCUUUUGGAUAUGUAUGCCCAUUUGGCAUCAGGGUGUCAGAGGUGGUAUCAGAGUAGAAUCCUAGGAAUAUCCCAUACAACUAAGCUUAAGGUUAGGAUAACAUAAAUUAGACC
Molecule: long non-coding RNA, 314 nt
Filed under: Carica papaya (papaya)
Lineage: Eukaryota; Viridiplantae; Streptophyta; Magnoliopsida; Brassicales; Caricaceae
Description: long non-coding RNA (CPAP_LNC002241)
Source: RNAcentral